This 114-nucleotide ribosomal RNA is filed under the name Acanthosepion pharaonis. Lineage: Eukaryota; Metazoa; Mollusca; Cephalopoda; Sepiida; Sepiidae. The record is from RNAcentral.
UUACAGCCAUAUCACAUUGAAACACCAGUUCUCAUAAGAUCACCAAAAUUAAGCAACAUCAAGCCUGGUCAGUACCUAGAUGGGUGACCACUUGGGAAUACAAGGGGCUGUAAG